Molecule: ribosomal RNA, 875 nt
Filed under: Leifsonia sp. M060706-4
Lineage: Bacteria; Bacillati; Actinomycetota; Actinomycetes; Micrococcales; Microbacteriaceae
Description: bacterial SSU rRNA
Rfam family: Bacterial small subunit ribosomal RNA
Source: RNAcentral
UCGCGUCUGCUGUGAAAACCCGAGGCUCAACCUCGGGCCUGCAGUGGGUACGGGCAGACUAGAGUGCGGUAGGGGAGAAUGGAAUUCCUGGUGUAGCGGUGGAAUGCGCAGAUAUCAGGAGGAACACCGAUGGCGAAGGCAGUUCUCUGGGCCGUAACUGACGCUGAGGAGCGAAAGCGUGGGGAGCGAACAGGAUUAGAUACCCUGGUAGUCCACGCCGUAAACGUUGGGCGCUAGAUGUGGGGACCAUUCCACGGUUUCCGUGUCGCAGCUAACGCAUUAAGCGCCCCGCCUGGGGAGUACGGCCGCAAGGCUAAAACUCAAAGGAAUUGACGGGGGCCCGCACAAGCGGCGGAGCAUGCGGAUUAAUUCGAUGCAACGCGAAGAACCUUACCAAGGCUUGACAUAUACGAGAACGGGCCAGAAAUGGUCAACUCUUUGGACACUCGUAAACAGGUGGUGCAUGGUUGUCGUCAGCUCGUGUCGUGAGAUGUUGGGUUAAGUCCCGCAACGAGCGCAACCCUCGUUCUAUGUUGCCAGCGCGUAAUGGCGGGAACUCAUAGGAGACUGCCGGGGUCAACUCGGAGGAAGGUGGGGAUGACGUCAAAUCAUCAUGCCCCUUAUGUCUUGGGCUUCACGCAUGCUACAAUGGCCGGUACAAAGGGCUGCAAUACCGUAAGGUGGAGCGAAUCCCAAAAAGCCGGUCUCAGUUCGGAUUGAGGUCUGCAACUCGACCUCAUGAAGUCGGAGUCGCUAGUAAUCGCAGAUCAGCAACGCUGCGGUGAAUACGUUCCCGGGCCUUGUACACACCGCCCGUCAAGUCAUGAAAGUCGGUAACACCCGAAGCCGGUGGCCCAACCCUUGUGGAGGGAGCC